This 253-nucleotide ribosomal RNA is filed under the name uncultured bacterium. Its description in RNAcentral is "partial 16S ribosomal RNA". It matches the Rfam family "Bacterial small subunit ribosomal RNA", at positions 524 to 776 of the family's 1533-position model. The record is from RNAcentral.
UACAGAGGGGGCAAGCGUUAUUCGGAAUUAUUGGGCGUAAAGGGCGCGUAGGCGGCUUGGCAAGUGGAAGGUGAAAUCCCUCGGCUUAACCGAGGAACUGCCCUCCAAACUGCUUUGCUUGAGGCCGGGAGAGGUGAGUGGAAUUCCCAGUGUAGCAGUGAAAUGCGUAGAUAUUGGGAGGAACACCAGUGGCGAAGGCGGCUCACUGGACCGGUUCUGACGCUGAGGCGCGAAAGCGUGGGGAGCAAACGGG